CGGAGGGUGCAAGCGUUAUCCGGAUUUACUGGAUUUAAAGGGUGCGCAGGCGGAUAUGUAAGUCAGUGGUGAAAUCUCCGGGCUUAACCCGGAAACUGCCGUUGAUACUAUAUAUCUUGAAUGCUGUGGAGGUAAGCAGAAUAUGUCAUGUAGCGGUGAAAUGCUUAGAGAUGACAUAGAAUACCUAUUGCGAAGGCAGCUUACUACGCAGAUAUUGACGCUCAUGCACGAAAGCGUGGGGAUCAAACAGGAUUAGAUACCCUGGUAGUCCACGCCCUAAACGAUGAUUACUCGACAUACGCGAUAUACAGUGUGUGUCUGAGCGAAAGCAUUAAGUAAUCCACCUGGGAAGUACGAUCGCAAGAUUG
This 368-nucleotide ribosomal RNA is filed under the name uncultured organism. RNAcentral describes it as "bacterial SSU rRNA". It matches the Rfam family "Bacterial small subunit ribosomal RNA", at positions 526 to 896 of the family's 1533-position model. The record is from RNAcentral.